Pezoporus flaviventris is the source of this 1272-nucleotide long non-coding RNA. RefSeq lists it as uncharacterized. The transcript has 3 exons. Lineage: Eukaryota; Metazoa; Chordata; Aves; Psittaciformes; Psittacidae. The record is from RefSeq and is a predicted model, not a curated record.
GGGAGGCAUCCACCUCUCUCCUCGCUCAGCCGGUCUCGGAGGGACAGCGCCUCUGCUCCCGCUCGCGGCUCAGCGCUGCCGCCCUGGAGACAGCGAAGCCUUGGGAGCGCCACCUCCCCAAGCAGCACACGAACGGUCAGUCGGGACCGGGCCGCGGUCCCACGCCGCGGGGCGCCGCGGCCGCCGAGGCGAAGUGAGAGGGCGCCUCCGGAGCCUGGGGCCGCUGGUGGGAGGGCGAUGGGGCACCUGUUUCACGACCCGCGCGGGUAGGCUUGGAUCCUGGUCUGCUGGUGAGACGCCAUGAGAAGCUCCGGAGGCGGGGGCUGGAGCUCCUCUCCCCCGGCGGCGGCUGCACUCCCUCUGGCUGCUCGCGGUUCACUCUCCGCCGCCCAAAGGCUGCCACAGCGGGAGCUGGGGGAGGCGCUGCGGAGGGGCGGCAGCCCGAAGUCUCCGGGACGGAGCUAACUCAGAGCUCCUCUGGUAGUCAUUGCCUCCAUCGGCAGCGACUGUGCUAAGGCAGGCCCAUACCUUCAGUGAUUCUGACUCUGGAUUUGCUCCAGGAUGGUCUCCAAUACCCACUGCUUGGACAACCUGAAUUUCACAUUCUGGGCCUUACAACUGGUGUGUCUGGAGCUGUCUUCUUUUCUCCGCUUGUUCCUGGAAAAAUAAAGAUGUGAAGAAUGCACAUGCUUUCUAAUUUCAGGUAAUGAACAAUAUUCUAUACUGCUGCAUGUACCAGAUGCUUAAUAAACCAGUAUUCUAGUUUUGCAGCUGUUACAGGGCUGGGGUGGGCUCGUUCCAUGGAAUAUACAACUUGCAUCAAAGCCUUGAGUCAUGGAAGUAUAUGUUUUCAAAGUCUUCUCUGAAGGCUCCCAUAACUUAUCUAUAGUAGGAAGUCAGGCAACAUGUGAAAAUGCUGAGGUAGUUAAAAGCCAAAUCCAAAGCAAAGCAAAACACUUUACAAAAGCAUUAUCAUUGUUUUAAAUUUGACAGAGCAAACUUUCCUCCUAGUCUGAUUCUGUCCCUUUGUUGAACUCAGGCUUGCAAGGCGGUAGUUUGCUUCCUGAAAGUUUUGUAGAAAACUUGAAACUAAAUUUAGCAAUAUGUAACAUUUUUUUUACACUAUAUGCUGUUCUCUAUAGAGCUUUUCUUCAUAGUAAUCAAUGCAAUAACUGCUUGUAGAGGCUUGUUCUAGAAAAAACUUACUUUGGAGGGGAGAGUGAAUUUCUGUGAUUACUUGAUAGCAGGUUUUGUAAUUUGGAUUUAUUUUUC